CUUUACUGUAGGCUGAUAUUGGGCUGAGGUAUGUUUUGUGUAGGAUAGGUGGGAGGCUGCGAGGCGGUGGCGCCAGCCAUCGCGGAGCCAACGUUGAAAUACCACCCUGAAUAUGCUUUAGUUCUAACCUCGUCCCGUGAAUCCGGGCGAGAGACAGUUUCAGUUGGGCAGUUUGACUGGGGCGGUCUCCUCCAAAAGAGUAACGGAGGAGUGCAAAGGUACACUCAGCCUGGUUGGCAAUCAGGCGUCGAGCGUAAGGGUAGAAGUGUGCUUAACUGCGAGACCUAUCAGUCGAGCAGAUGCGAAAGCAGGUCCUAGUGAUCCGGUGAUUCCGUAUGGAAGGGUCAUCGCUCAUCAGAUAAAAGGUA
Molecule: ribosomal RNA, 368 nt
Filed under: uncultured organism
Description: bacterial LSU rRNA
Rfam family: Bacterial large subunit ribosomal RNA
Source: RNAcentral